CGCUGACCGCCGCUGCCGCGCCGAACGCCGCACCGUCGCCGCGAUCCCCGUCGACGUGCCGCGCCACCUCGCCACAACACCGACGCCGCCGUUCCCUGCUACCGUCAUCCCCGCGCCCUGCUCCGGACCUGGACGCCGCGCCCUGCACCGCUGAGUCAGAGGAGGAUCGGACUGACGAGGACCGUGAGUAUCGGGAGGAGUUUGGCGACGACUACUCCGAAGGUUCUUAUGAUUCCGAGGGAUAUAGCAACUAGGGGGUUCGUGCCUUCACUCAAGUCGAUGGAGUUUCUACCUUCCGCAUCUAUCGAGCUGUUCCGGUUGAUAAUUUAGAUUUUGUUUCUGCCAUGUGGCAAUGCAAUAAUGUAAUACUCUCUAUUCUUAAUGCUUUUGUACGAUGUAUGGAUGAUGAUUAUCAACUGGAAUUGGGUAAUUUGAUUUAAAUGGUCAUUUUA
This is a long non-coding RNA of Sorghum bicolor (sorghum), 452 nucleotides long. RefSeq lists it as uncharacterized. The record is from RefSeq and is a predicted model, not a curated record. NCBI's taxonomy places the organism in Eukaryota, Viridiplantae, Streptophyta, Magnoliopsida, Poales, Poaceae. The transcript is spliced from 3 exons.